RNAcentral lists this ribosomal RNA (206 nucleotides) under uncultured bacterium. Its description in RNAcentral is "partial 16S ribosomal RNA". It matches the Rfam family "Bacterial small subunit ribosomal RNA", at positions 28 to 232 of the family's 1533-position model. The record is from RNAcentral.
GACGAACGCUGGCGGCGUGCUUAACACAUGCAAGUCGAGCGGUAAGGCCCUUUCGGGGGUACGACGAGCGGCGAACGGGUGAGUAACACGUGGGUGACCUGCCCUCCAGCUCUGGGAUAAGCCUGGGAAACGUGGGUCUAAUACUGGAUAUGACUCCACGGUGCAUGUCGUGGGGUGGAAAGCCUUGUGCGGCUGAGGAUGGGCCC